GAUGAACGCUAGCGGCAGGCCUAACACAUGCAAGUCGAGGGAGGAGCUUUCGGGCUUCGACCGGCGUACGGGUGCGUAACGCGUAUACAAUCUGCCUUUCACAUAGGGAUAGCCCGAAGAAAUUUGGAUUAAUACCUAAUGGUAUAUAGGAGUGGCAUCACAUUCAUAUUAAAGCUUAGGCGGUGAAAGAUGAGUAUGCGUUCUAUUAGCUAGUUGGAGAGGUAACGGCUCCCCAAGGCGACGAUAGAUAGGGGUUCUGAGAGGGAUAUCCCCCACACUGGUACUGAGAUACGGACCAGUAUGCUACGGGAGGGAGCAGUGAGGAACAUUGGACGAUGGUCGGAAGACUGAUCCAGCCAUGCCGGGUGCAGGAAGACGGCCUUAUGGGUUGUCAGCUGCUUUUGCAGGGGAAGAAUAAGGACUACGAGUAGUUUGAUGACGGUACUCUGCGAAUAAGCAUCGGCUAACUCCGUG
This 474-nucleotide ribosomal RNA is filed under the name uncultured bacterium. RNAcentral's name for it is "partial 16S ribosomal RNA". It matches the Rfam family "Bacterial small subunit ribosomal RNA", at positions 28 to 507 of the family's 1533-position model. The record is from RNAcentral.